RNAcentral lists this ribosomal RNA (498 nucleotides) under uncultured bacterium. RNAcentral describes it as "bacterial SSU rRNA". It matches the Rfam family "Bacterial small subunit ribosomal RNA", at positions 15 to 507 of the family's 1533-position model. The record is from RNAcentral.
GAUCAUGGCUCAGGAUGAACGCUAGCUACAGGCUUAACACAUGCAAGUCGAGGGGCAGCGCAGUGUAGUAAUACAUGGGCGGCGACGGCGCACGGGUGCGUAACGCGUAUCCAACCUUCCCGUUACUCUUGGAUAGCCUUCCGAAAGGGNGAUUAAUACAAGAUGGUAUUCAAAUUCCGCAUGUUAUUUGAACUAAAGAUUUAUCGGUAACGGAUGGGGAUGCGUGACAUUAGAUAGUAGGCGGGGUAACGGCCCACCUAGUCUACGAUGUCUAGGGGUUCUGAGAGGAAGGUCCCCCACACUGGAACUGAGACACGGUCCAGACUCCUACGGGAGGCAACAGUGAGGAAUAUUGGUCAAUGGUCGGAAGACUGAACCAGCCAAGUAGCGUGAAGGAUGAAGGUUCUAUGGAUUGUAAACUUCUUUUAUACGGGAAUAACAUCACCUACGUGUAGGUGCCUGCAUGUACCGUAUGAAUAGGCAUCGGCUAACUCCGUG